CCUACGGGUGGCAGCAGUGAGGAAUAUUGGUCAAUGGGCGGGAGCCUGAACCAGCCAAGCCGCGUGAGGGAAGAAGGUACAGCGGAUCGUAAACCUCUUUUGUCAGGGAACAAAGGCGGGGACGAGUCCCCGGAUGAGGGUACCUGAAGAAAAAGCAUCGGCUAACUCCGUGCCAGCAGCCGCGGUAAUACGGAGGAGGCGAGCGUUAUCCGGAUUUCUUGGGUUUAAAGGGGGCGCAGGCGGCCUGUUAAGUCAGCGGGAAAAGCCCGGGGCUCACCCCCGGCGAGCCGUUGAAACUGGCGUGCUGGAGUUGGCGCGAAGUACGCGGUAUGCGCGGUGUAGCGGUGACAUGCUUAGAUAUCGCGCAGAACCCCGAUUGCGACGGCAGCGUACCGGCUCCACCCUGACGCUGAGGCACGAAAGCGUGGGUAUCGCACAGGAUUAGCUACCCGAGUAGUC
This 459-nucleotide ribosomal RNA is filed under the name uncultured bacterium. RNAcentral's name for it is "partial 16S ribosomal RNA". It matches the Rfam family "Bacterial small subunit ribosomal RNA", at positions 338 to 795 of the family's 1533-position model. The record is from RNAcentral.